GACGAACGCUGGCGGUAUGCUUAACACAUGCAAGUCGAACGAGAAGCUUUUUAAUGAUCCUUCGGGUGAACUAAGAGGUGGAAAGUGGCGAACGGGUGAGUAACGCGUGGGUAACCUGCCUCAUGGAAAGGAAUAGCCUCGGGAAACUGGGAGUAAAGCCUUAUAUUAUUGAGUUGUCGCAUGGCAAUUCGAUGAAAACUCCGGUGCCAUGAGAUGGACCCGCGUCCCAUUAGCUAGUUGGUGAGAUAACAGCCCACCAAGGCAACGAUGGGUAACCGGUCUGAGAGGGCGAACGGUCACACUGGAACUGAGACACGGUCCAGACUCCUACGGGAGGCAGCAGUGGGGAAUAUUGCGCAAUGGGGGAAACCCUGACGCAGCAAUACCGCGUGAGUGAAGAAGGUUUUCGGAUCGUAAAACUCUUUUAUUGGGGAAGAAGAAGUGACGGUACCCAAUGAAGAAGUCCCGGCUAACUACGUGCCAGCAGCCGCCGUAA
RNAcentral lists this ribosomal RNA (496 nucleotides) under uncultured bacterium. RNAcentral describes it as "partial 16S ribosomal RNA". It matches the Rfam family "Bacterial small subunit ribosomal RNA", at positions 28 to 523 of the family's 1533-position model. The record is from RNAcentral.